AGCCCACUUAGAUGUAAGCCCAUAGGGCCCAAUGAAUGCAUUCACCUGUAAGCAACUUUAAGCUAGGGUUUUUCCUUCAUUAUCUCGUUUCUCAAUCCGCAGAGCGAUUGCAGAGAAUUAGCCAUGGGGAGAAGACCUGCAAGGUGUUACCGCCAGAUUAAGAACAAGCCUUACCCAAAAUCACGGUUUUGCCGUGGUGUUCCAGAUCCAAAGAUCAGGAUCUACGAUGUGGGUAUGAAGAGAAAGGGAGUUGAUGAAUUUCCUUUCUGUGUGCACUUGGUUAGUUGGGAGAAGGAGAAUGUUUCAAGUGAGGCACUUGAAGCUGCUCGUAUUGCUUGCAACAAGUACAUGACCAAGUCUGCUGGAAAGGAUGCUUUCUACCUCAGGGUUAGGGUCCACCCCUUCCAUGUUUUGUGAAUUAACAAGAUGUUGUCAUGUGCUGGGGCUGAUAGGCUCCAAACUGGUAUGAGAGGAGCUUUUGGUAAGCCACAGGGAGUCUGUGCCCGUGUUGCUAUUGGUCAGGUUCUUCUCUCAGUUCGCUGCAAAGAUGGCAAUGCUAACCAUGCUCAAGAGGCUCUUCGCCGUGCUAAGUUUAAGUUCCCUGGCCGACAAAAGAUCAUUGUCAGCAGAAAGUGGGGGUUCACUAAGUUUAGCCGUACCGAUUAUCUGAAAUACAAAUCUAAGAAUCGUAUUGUCCCAGACGGUGUCAACGCCAAGCUUCUUGGAUGCCAUGGACGACUUGCUGCACGUCAACCUGGAAGAGCUUUUCUAGAAGCUGCUAAUUGAAGUUGCAGAAUUUACAAAUCUGUACCUUUAGCUUUCUACUUCCGCUGAAUGAAAUUUUGUUUCCUGAUCAUCUAUCUAGUUUUGAACCAUUACAUAAGUUGUUACCCCUCUGAACGUUUGCCUUUUCAAAGUAUAAUGAUUGGCUUUUAUUUGAAUGAUGAGUUUUAUUAUACA
RNA transcript from Solanum stenotomum, 960 nucleotides. It is a transcript of the gene named 60S ribosomal protein L10-like, with no coding region annotated. Lineage: Eukaryota; Viridiplantae; Streptophyta; Magnoliopsida; Solanales; Solanaceae. The record is from RefSeq and is a predicted model, not a curated record. The transcript is spliced from 4 exons.